Molecule: long non-coding RNA, 1091 nt
Filed under: Monodelphis domestica (gray short-tailed opossum)
Lineage: Eukaryota; Metazoa; Chordata; Mammalia; Didelphimorphia; Didelphidae
Description: lncRNA (ENSMODG00000051434.1)
Source: RNAcentral
GUUUCCAGUGUUGAAAGAGAAGAUGUAUGAUGUCAACUUCCCUUCAGGUCACUGAAGACAGAGAAAGACUCUGGAAGUACCUGACAUGAGAAAAGUUGACAGUUUCCAUCAUGUCUCUACUAUAGUUUGCUACAUUAGAGCCAUAAGGGAAUUUCCUUUCAGAAUUCACACUUUGGGUAAGAGAAUAGAGAGAGAGAGAAGCUUUCAGACACACACACAAGUUCUUUAUUCACUUCACUAGCCUGCCAUCGAUAGGAAAGUGCGGCAUCAUGCCUAGAGAGCUGGGAAAAUGAAGUGUUUUACAUCCUUGAAAGGAAGCAUGAUGUACUGGAUGACAUUCUACAGUUGGACUGAGGAAGACCUGUGUUAAAAAUCUACUUUAGAGACUUUCUGUGUAUCCUUGAGAAAAUCACUUACCUUUUCCUUGCUUCAGUUUUCUCAUCUCAAAAGUGGCAAUGGUAAAAUCUAUGGCAUUUGGCUCAUGGUUCUGUUAUGAGGAUCCUAGAUCUAGAGCUUGAAAGAACCUGAGAGACUAUACAGUCUAACCUCUUCAUUUUAUAGGUGAGUAAUUUGAGGCCCCAAAAAUAUUCCAUCAUUUAUCUAAGGCCAUAUAGGCAGUAAACAUCAGAAAUGGGAUUUGAAUGCACAUCCUCACAUUCCAUAGCAGUGUUUAUCCCAAUGUACCAUGUUGUUUUGAUUAUUUAGUUGUUUCAAUUGUAUUUAACUCUUUCAACCCUAUUUGGGAUUUCCCUGUGCAAAGAUACUGAUGUGGUUUGUCAUUUCCAUCUCCAGUUUCUUUUAUAAAUGAGGAAACUGAGGCAAAUAGGGUGAAGUAACUUGUCCAAGGUCACACAGCCAGUAAGUUUCUGAGGUUGGAUUUGAACUCAGUUCUUCCUGUCUCCAGGCCUGAUCCUCUAUACAAUGUGCUACCUGGUUGUCCUUGUCUACCAUGUUGCUACUUUGUACAUCUUAAAGAAUUAUAGUAGAAAUCCAUUUUAUGCAAAUUCAACACAUGCAAAUUAAGGUAUUGGCAGUGGAAAAAAAUUAAGUCAGAAAGAGAUGAAAAAUAAAAAAAUAAUGUGCUAAAUCCA